GACGAACGCUGGCGGCGUGCUUAACACAUGCAAGUCGAACGGUGAAGCGCCUUCCUUUUUGGUGGGUGUGGAUGAGUGGCGAACGGGUGAGUAACACGUGAGUAACCUGCCCCCUUCUUCUGGAUAACCGCAUGAAAGUGUGGCUAAUACGGGAUAUUCUGGGUCUGUCGCAUGAUGGGUCUGGGAAAGAUAUUGUUUCGGUGGGGGAUGGGCUCGCGGCCUAUCAGCUUGUUGGUGGGGUGAUGGCCUACCAAGGCGGUGACGGGUAGCCGGCCUGAGAGGGUGGACGGUCACACUGGGACUGAGACACGGCCCAGACUCCUACGGGAGGCAGCAGUGGGGAAUAUUGCACAAUGGGCGCAAGCCUGAUGCAGCGACGCCGCGUGAGGGAUGGAGGCCUUCGGGUUGUGAACCACUUUCGCCAGUGAAGCAGGCCUGCCUCGUUUGUGGGUGGGUUGACGGUAGCUGGAUAAGAAGCGCCGGCUAACUACGUG
This 494-nucleotide ribosomal RNA is filed under the name uncultured bacterium. RNAcentral describes it as "partial 16S ribosomal RNA". It matches the Rfam family "Bacterial small subunit ribosomal RNA", at positions 28 to 507 of the family's 1533-position model. The record is from RNAcentral.